Molecule: ribosomal RNA, 192 nt
Filed under: uncultured bacterium
Lineage: Bacteria
Description: partial 16S ribosomal RNA
Rfam family: Bacterial small subunit ribosomal RNA
Source: RNAcentral
CUACGGGAGGCAGCAGUGGGGAAUAUUGGACAAUGGGCGAAAGCCUGAUCCAGCCAUGCCGCGUGUGUGAAGAAGGUCUUCGGAUUGUAAAGCACUUUAAGUUGGGAGGAAGGGCAGUAAGUUAAUACCUUGCGUUUGACGUUACCGACAGAAUAAGCACCGGCUAACUCUGUGCCAGCAGCCGCGGUAAUU